AUCUCCCUGUGUGUGGGACACUGCCUGCUGGGUGUUCCGUUCCAGCCCCUCUAGAAUGCAUGCUUGAAUGGCCAGUGAGGCUGGGGGAGGGACCGAGAGGGAGCCCUCACCCCCAGCAGCACAGAGCAGGAGCUGGACGGUGGGGCUGGGGGUGAGGCCAGCUGAGAGGGGUCAGGUCCUGCCACGGGAGGGGGACUUUUAAAGUUCCUCCAUGGCCCUGGAACCCUGGAGCCUCAGGAGUGGCAGGGGAGCUUCUCCGCCCUAAUAGCAAUCAGAUGGCGCAAGUGGAAAAUCACGGCGCUCGGCAAGCAAGCUGGAAAUUGGCGGGCUGUGGUGCCUGGUGCCUGCGCUGCUCAGCGGGAGGAUGAGUCAGGAGUGUAGUGCCCAGACUGGGAGAGAUGUGCCUCUGUGGGCAUCUUGAAGGGAAAUGAGAAGCGGAGCUGCCCCUGCACCUGCGCUGGGAGCUGCCUGCCUCCUGCUUGUCCUGGCCAUGUGCGAACCUCAGCGUGGAAGAGGGACUCUCGCACUGCUCCCUGCGCGGCUCAGCUGGCCUCCUGGGGUCCGUUUUUCAGGGAUGGGGUGAGGAGGGACUCUGGGAUCCUGGAGGCUCACGGGCCAUGCCUGAGGCUGAGAGAGAGGCUGGAGGCAGCAGGCAGGGUGGUGACCCGUCCCCUCCUCUCCAGGGCAGCCAGCUGGGGCCCAGCUGGAACGCUUGUUUACAUGGGGAGGCCGGGGGAGGCUGAAUCCCGGCGAGUUCCAAGUGUAAUUGCGUUUGGACACUUAAAAGGAAUUGUGUGAAGUGGGCAGAGGCUCUGAAGUCCACCGCCUUAUUUGGUGCUUCUGUGGCCUAUGGUUGCCCUGCUGCUCCCUGGACGAGGGGGUGGGUGUGGACCAGCCCUCGUGGCCCCUCUGCAGCCAGCACCAUCCUCAGUAAAGACUACAGGUAUUUCCUGAGCACCUGCAGGGUGCCAGGCACUGUGCUCUGUGCUGAUGAAUAGGACAGGCAAGGUCCCUGCUCUCCGGGAGCUGAUGUCCAACAGAGAGGCAGACCAGGUCAAAGGAAACACAGUAAAAUGCACCUGCGAUGAAGAAGGUGUGCAGGGCCAUUCGGCUGGUGUGGUGGCUCACGCCUGUAAUCCUAGCACUUUGGGAGGCUGAGGCAGGUGGAUUGACUGAGCUCAGGCGUUCCAGACCAGCCUGGCCAACAUCGUGAAACUCCAUUUAUACUAAAAAUACAAAAAAUUAGCUGGGCAUGGUGGCACACACCUGUAGUCCCAGCUACUUGGGAGGCUGAGACAUAAGAAUCACUUGAACCCAGGAGGUGGAGGUUGCAGUGAGCUGAGAUCACGCCACUGCAGCACCCCAGCCUGGGUGAGACAGCGAGACUCUGUCUAAAGAAAAAAGGUUGAACCAAGGCCUAGCUGUCUUUCCUAAUAGUGAAAGGGACCCCUCUCCUUCUGCUCUGUUCCCCUCCUCCACUAGGCUGGGCCUUUCUGUGCUGGAAGGUGCAUCUUGGGAAUCUCAGCAAAAGUCCACAUUAUCCUCUGUCCUGCAUGUGGUAGACCAUUCAUUUGUUAAUUUGUCCAUCUUUCCAUCUAUCCACUUACUCAUCUACCCACUCAACUACCCAUCUACUUGCUCAUCCAUCCAUCCAUCCAUCCAUCCUCCCAUCCAUCCAUCCACCCACCAGACCAUCCAUCCAUCCAUCCAUUCACCCACCAAACCAUCUAUCCAUCCAUCCAUCCAAGUACAAGACCAUCCAUCCAUCCAUCCAUCCAUCCACCCACCAAACCAUCCAUCCAUCCAUCCAUCCAUCCACCCACCCACCAGACCGUCCAUCCAUCCAUCUAUCCAUCCAUCCAUCCAUCCAUCCAUCCAUCCAUCCAUCCACCAAACCAUCCAUCCACCCACCAAACCAUCUAUCCAUCCAUCUAUCCAUCCAUCCAUCCAUCCAUCCAUCCAUCCAUCCAUCCAUCCACCAAACCAUCCAUCCACCCACCCACCAGACCAUCCAUCCAUCCAUCUAUCCAUCCAUCCAUCCAUCCAUCCAUCCAUCCAUCCAUCCAUCCACCAAACCAUCCAUCCAUCCAUCCAUCCAUCCAUCCAUCCAUCAUCCAUCCAUCCACCCACCCAUCCAUCCAUCAAUCCGUCUAUCCAUCCAUUCAUCUAUCAAUCCAUCCAUUCAUCCAUCUAGCCAUCCACCCACCCACUCACCCAUCCACCCAUCCAUUCAUUCUUACCUUAAUUCAACACAUUUGUACUGAACACCAGCAAUGUUGGUGCUAGGAAAAGAAUUGUGGAAGAACCAGACAUGGGGCAUGGGGAGCAGGUGAUAAAUAGAAAAAACUGAACAUAAGAACUCCAACCUGUGAUUAGUGCAUUGAGAAAACCAAACAGGCAUAGUGACAGAAACUUAGGUGGUAGGCAGGGAGGGAUGGGAGGUGAGCUGAAUAAUGGCCCCUAAAGAUGUUGAUGUCCUAAUCCCCAGAUCCUGAGAACAUGUGACUUUGCACCUGGCCAAAGGGACUUUGCAGUUGGGAUGGAGUGAAGGGUCUUGAGAUGGGAGCAUCAUUGUGGAUUAUCCAGGUGGGCCCUAUGUCAUUGCAAGGGUCCUUGUAAGAAGGAGACAGGAGAUCAGAAUGAGUAGUGGGCCAUGUGUUGAUGUGAGGAAGGGGCCACCAGCCAAAGAAUGCAGGCUGCCUCUAGAAACUGGAGAGGACAAGGAAACAAGCUGUCCCCUAGAGCCUCCAGAAGGAACCAGCCCUGCCAACACCUUGACUUUAGGCCUCUGAUUUCUGGAACUCUUACUAGAAUACGUUUGUGUUGUUUAAGCCACUAAGUUUGUGUCAUUUGUUACAGAAGCCACAAGAAACUAAUCCAUGGGGAUGGCCAGGCCUGAUUAGCUGGGGUGGGGCUGGAGGCUCCUCUACAGAGAUGAUGCUUACACUGAGACCUGAAGGAGAAGGAGGAGGUGGCUGCUCACGCAACCCACAGGAAAGUGUUCCAGGAUCAAGAACAGCAGGUGCAAAGGCCCCGUGAUGGAAAGGAUUGGUGCACUAGGAGAACAAAGUGGGUGGCUGCAGGGCAGGAGGGGAGGGUGCAUGUGCAGGCUGGGCAGGAGGGUAGGGCCUUGAGGCACCCUACAGGCCCCUGUAAGUCCAGGCACAGAGCUGCUGCCUUGAGCCCUGAGGUCUGGACAUUCCAGUUUCCCAUCUUUCCAAUGUGGGACUCUCUGCCUUUUCCAAUUCCCCACUUCCCUGAUGCCAGAUACUGCCUGACUGUGUCCAUCUCUCCCCCGUCCCCUGGGCCACCUCCCUGCUGAGACCCCUCACUGGUGCCUCCCAGGUGCAUUCUCCUCGCUGCCCCCAGCAGAGUCCUUCCCACACACCCAGCUCCUCGGUGUGGUGCCUGCCCGUGGGUGGGUGGUGCACCCCACUGGCAUCCCUCCUCUGCCCUGUCCACCUCAACUUCCAGGGCAGCCUGGACACCAGGUUUGGUCUACCUCGUCCACACCCGCCUGCUUCUGUCCCGCCUUAAGCGGAUCCGUGAUGUCCCGUCAUUAGACCUUCAAUUUCAGCACAGGACUGAAUAACUAACCUUCAAAAAGUUUGCAGUAGCCUUGUCACUCCUAAAAAUAACAAAUAAUUCCUUAAACAUCAUUCAACAUCCAAUCAGUGUUUGCACACUUUUUUUACAGCUCUGCAUGUGUGUCACAAGCUAAACAAGGCCCGUGAGUGGAUGUGCUUCUUUUUGGGGUUGGGGAGAGACGGUGUCUCACUCUGUUGCCCAGGCUGGAUUGCAGUGGCAAGAUCUUGGCUCAUUGUGUCUCCCGGGUUCAAGCGAUUCUUCUGCCUCAGACUCUUGAGUAGCUGGGACUACAGGCAGUGCCACCACGCCUGGCUAAUAUUUGUAUUUUUAGUGGAGACGGGGUUUCACCAUGUUGGUGAGGCUGGUCUCAAACUCUUGACCUCAUGUGAUCCCCCGACCUCGGCCUCUCAAAGUGCUGGGAUUACAGGUGUGAGACACCGUGCCCUGCCUGAUGUGCUCCUUUUAAUGACAGGUUCCCCGCAGCAUCUCCCUGUCCCUCUUCC
RNAcentral lists this long non-coding RNA (4091 nucleotides) under Homo sapiens (human). Its description in RNAcentral is "HSALNT0177486". The record is from RNAcentral. Lineage: Eukaryota; Metazoa; Chordata; Mammalia; Primates; Hominidae.